RNAcentral lists this ribosomal RNA (608 nucleotides) under bacterium. Its description in RNAcentral is "bacterial SSU rRNA". It matches the Rfam family "Bacterial small subunit ribosomal RNA", at positions 80 to 682 of the family's 1533-position model. The record is from RNAcentral.
ACACGGAAAGAAGAAAAAGGGGGGCACCCAAAAAAUAACACGUGAGUAAUCUGCCCUUCACUUGGGGAUAACGUCCAGAAAUGGGUGCUAAUACCCGGUACUCCCGUGUCCACGCAUGUGGGUGUGGGGAAAGGUUUUUCUGGUGGGGGAUGUGCUCGCGGCCUAUCAGCUUGUUGGUGGGGUAAUGGCCUACCAAGGCUUUGACGGGUAGCCGGCCUGAGAGGGUGACCGGCCACACUGGGACUGAGACACGGCCCAGACUCCUACGGGAGGCAGCAGUGGGGAAUAUUGGACAAUGGGCGGAAGCCUGAUCCAGCAACGCCGCGUGAGGGAUGACGGCCUUCGGGUUGUAAACCUCUUUCACCAUUGACGAAGCUGCAUCUUUUUGGGUGUGGUGACGGUAGGUGGGGAAGAAGCACCGGCCAACUACGUGCCAGCAGCCGCGGUAAUACGUAGGGUGCGAGCGUUGUCCGGAAUUAUUGGGCGUAAAGGGCUCGUAGGCGGUUUGUCGCGUCGGGAGUGAAAACCUCGGGCUUAACUCGGGGCUUGCUUUCGAUACGGGCAGACUAGAGGUAUGCAGGGGAGAACGGAAUUCCUGGUGUAGCGGU